UAGGGAAUCUUCGGCAAUGGACGAAAGUCUGACCGAGCAACGCCGCGUGAGUGAAGAUGGUUUUCGGCUCGUAAAACUCUGUUGUUAGAGAAGAACAAGGACGUUAGUAACUGAACGUCCCCUGACGGUAUCUAACCAGAAAGCCACGGCUAACUACGUGCCAGCAGCCGCGGUAAUACGUAGGUGGCAAGCGAUGUCCGGAUUUAUUGGGCGUAAAGCGUGCGCAUGCGGUUUCUUAAGUCUGAUGUGAAAGCCCCCGGCUCAACCGGGGAGGGGCAAUGGAAACUGAGAGACUUGAGGGCAGAAGAGGAGAGUGGAAUUCCAUGUGUAGCGGUGAAAUGCGUAGAUUUAUGGAGGAACACCAGUUGCGAGGGCGGCUCUCUGGUCUGUAACUGACGCUGAGGCUCGAAAGCGUGGGGAGCAAACAGG
This 429-nucleotide ribosomal RNA is filed under the name Gemmatimonadota bacterium. Its description in RNAcentral is "Gemmatimonadetes bacterium partial 16S ribosomal RNA". It matches the Rfam family "Bacterial small subunit ribosomal RNA", at positions 355 to 776 of the family's 1533-position model. The record is from RNAcentral. Lineage: Bacteria; Pseudomonadati; Gemmatimonadota.